This 460-nucleotide ribosomal RNA is filed under the name uncultured bacterium. RNAcentral's name for it is "SSU rRNA". It matches the Rfam family "Bacterial small subunit ribosomal RNA", at positions 26 to 518 of the family's 1533-position model. The record is from RNAcentral.
AGAAUCAACGCUGGCGGCGUGCCUAACACAUGCAAGUCGAACGAGAAAGUGGAGCAAUCCACGAGUAAAGUGGCGCACGGGUGAGUAACACGUGACUAACCUACCCUUGAGUGGGGGAUAACCUAGGGAAACCUGGGCUAAUACCGCAUAAUACCUUCGGGUCAAAGGAGCAAUUCGCUUAAGGAGGGGGUCGCGGCCGAUUAGUUAGUUGGCGGGGUAAUGGCCCACCAAGACUGUGAUCGGUAUCCGGCCUGAGAGGGCGCACGGACACACUGGAACUGAAACACGGUCCAGACUCCUACGGGAGGCAGCAGUGGGGAAUUUUGCGCAAUGGGGGAAACCCUGACGCAGCAACGCCGCGUGGAGGAUGAAGCCCCUUGGGGCGUAAACUCCUUUCGAUCGGGAAGAUAAUGACGGUACCGAGAGAAGAAGCCCCGGCUAACUUCGUGCCAGCAGCCGC